AUAUAAAGGCUAUCUAGUUGCGACUGCUGUCGCCCAAUUCAUUGUCAGGGUUGAGGUGGCUAAUCGAGGUGGCUAGGCUGGUAUCCUCUUCUUCAUUGUUACUGAAGCUGCAUCCUUGGUGGAAGAAGACAACCAUCCUGAUAGAGGAGGAACCUCUUUGAUCAAGGGUAUACGAAUAGCUGUGCCACUUGUAGAACUUCCAUACAGACUCAACAAAACAGGCAUUGAGCUGGACCCUGAAGUAGAAACAUGACUAGAUGGAGGGCAGGCAUGCACACGAGUGCAGAAAUGGUCGUGCCCACUGAUUAU
This 309-nucleotide small nuclear RNA is filed under the name Panthera tigris altaica (Amur tiger). RNAcentral's name for it is "7SK RNA (ENSPTIG00000001568.1)". It matches the Rfam family "7SK RNA". From Rfam's summary of the family: 7SK was discovered as an abundant small nuclear RNA in the mid-70s but a possible function has only recently been suggested. Two independent studies have found that 7SK RNA binds the CDK9/cyclin T complex (known as elongation factor P-TEFb). Lineage: Eukaryota; Metazoa; Chordata; Mammalia; Carnivora; Felidae. The record is from RNAcentral.